Molecule: long non-coding RNA, 505 nt
Filed under: Gallus gallus (chicken)
Lineage: Eukaryota; Metazoa; Chordata; Aves; Galliformes; Phasianidae
Source: RNAcentral
UUGAUUCAUGCAAGUCUCAUGAGCCUAAUAACCAAAAACAAAUUUUAACAUGUGCAGAAAUAGAUUUUCUGCACGUUAAAAUUUGCAGCCCUGGAGUGUGCAGAGAAUCCUCUUCAUGUAAUGGCUUAGCAAUUAUUGCACUUUAGUGGUCUGUUCUUUUCCCUGAAUAUGUUCUAGGUGCUGCAUGACAGUGUGUCACAGUAAUAGGGAAGAAGCAGUCAUUCCUUUGUCUCAUAAUCUACCUGAAUGGAAGAGGAGUUUGGUCUGAAGAUGAGAAUCUGACUGACAAAGCACAUCCAGGGAUGCAACUUACCAUUGCUGUGUGGUUUGUGAAAUUAUUUUUAACAUGUACAGAUGUCCCUUUAAGAAGCUGUAAAUCUUUUGAAAGAGUAAACUGCAAAAUAACGUAACCAAACAAAAAACCAAACCAAAAUAGGCAACUAAGAUUUCUUAAAAGGUAAUUUUAAGAUGGAAAAUAAAAUAAAAAACCAGGCUAGAAUAGGAG